Molecule: ribosomal RNA, 430 nt
Filed under: uncultured bacterium
Lineage: Bacteria
Description: bacterial SSU rRNA
Rfam family: Bacterial small subunit ribosomal RNA
Source: RNAcentral
GGGCCCGCACAAGCGGUGGAGCAUGUGGUUUAAUUCGAUGAUACGCGAGGAACCUUACCAGGGCUUAAAUGUAGUCUGACAGGGGUGGAAACACCCCCUCCUUCGGGCAGAUUACAAGGUGCUGCAUGGUUGUCGUCAGCUCGUGCCGUGAGGUGUCAGGUUAAGUCCUAUAACGAGCGCAACCCCUGCCGUUAGUUGCCAGCAUGUAAUGAUGGGAACUCUAACGGGACUGCCGGUGCAAACCGCGAGGAAGGUGGGGAUGACGUCAAAUCAUCACGGCCCUUACGUCCUGGGCUACACACGUGCUACAAUGGCCGGUACAGAGGGCAGCCACACCGCAAGGUGGAGCGAAUCCUUAAAACCGGUCUCAGUUCGGAUCGCAGUCUGCAACUCGACUGCGUGAAGCUGGAAUCGCUAGUAAUCGGAUAUC